GCAAGAUACCACGGGCGCACGGCGGAUGCCUUGGCACAGGGAGCCGAUGAAGGACGCGGCAAGCUGCGAUAAUCCCCGGCGAGGAGCACACAUCCUUCGACCCGGGGGUCUCCGAAUGGGCGAACCCAUCCGUAGCAGUACGGAUAUCCCGACCCUGAACACAUAGGGGCCGGGAGGACAACCCGGGGAACUGAAACAUCUAAGUACCCGGAGGAGAGGAAAUCAAUCUCGAGACUCCCCGAGUAGCGGCGAGCGAAAGGGGACCGAUGGCCAAACCGUCGAGCGGGCAUACCCGGCAGGGGUUCCGCCGACGGGGUUGCAGGGCCGCGCAUCCGGGGGCUGCCGCCCCCGGGCGCAGGUCCGGCUGGGGAGCGGAACGGCAUGGGAGGGCCGGCCGCAGCGGGUGACAGCCCCGUACGCGAACCCAGACCGGACGGCGCGACGCGGUCCCUGAGUAGGGCCGGGCACGUGAAACCCGGUCCGAACCUGGGUGGACCACCAUCCAAGCCUGAGUACUACCCUGUGACCGAUAGCGCACCAGUACCGUGAGGGAAAGGUGAAAAGCACCCCGGGAGGGGAGUGAAACAGUACCUGAAACCGUGCGCCCACGAGCAGUCGGAGCACCCUUGUGGUGUGACGGCGUGCCUUUUGUAGAAUGAGCCAGCGAGUCGCUGGCGCGGGGCGAGGUUAACCGAAAGGGAGCCGGAGCGAAAGCGAGCCUUAACAGGGCGACUUGAGUCCCGCGCCGCGGACGCGAAGCCGGGUGAGCUAUCCGUGGGCAGGCUGAAGCGGGGGUAAGACCCCGUGGAGGGCCGAACGCACGUCGGUUGAAAACGGCGGCGAUGACCUGCGGAUAGGGGUGAAAGGCCAAUCAAACCCGGAGAUAUCUCGUUCUCCCCGAAAUAGCUUUAGGGCUAGCGUCGCGCGUUCACCGCCGGAGGUAGAGCACCGGAUGGACGAGGGGGCUUCGCCGCCUACCGAAUCCAACCGAACUCCGAAUGCCGGCGGCCCAGAGCGCGGCAGUCAGAGCAUGUGGGCUAAGCUGUGUGCUCGAGAGGGAAACAGCCCGGACCGCCCGCUAAGGUCCCCAAGUUCCAGCCGAGUGGCAAAGGAUGUGCGUCCGCCCAGACAACCAGGAUGUUGGCUUAGAAGCAGCCAUGCAUUCAAAGAGUGCGUAACAGCUCACUGGUCGAGUGGACAUGCGCCGACAAUACACGGGGCUAAGCUGGACACCGAAGCGGCGGGAUUUUACCUAAGUAGAAUCGGUAGGGGAGCUUCCCAUGGGCGGGGAAGCCGCCGGGCGACCGGCGGUGGAGCGCAUGGGAGUGAGAAUGCUGGCAUGAGUAGCGAGAGACGAGAGAGUAACUCGUCCGCCGUGAACCCGAGGUUUCCUGGGCAAGGCUAAUCCUCCCAGGGUCAGUCGGGGGCUAAGGCGAGGCCGGGAGGCGUAGCCGACGCGCAGCAGGCAGACAUUCCUGCACCGCGCACGCGGCGCUACGACCGACGGGGCGACGGAUGGGGGUGGCUCGGCGGGGUUCUGGACGUCCCCGUGAUGGAGCGCGGCCCGCGGACCAGGGAAAUCCGGUCCGCACGAGGGCGAGGCUCCGGACGAAGCGAUCAAGCGAAGCGAGUGAGCCCGAGGUCCCUAGAAAAACCCCUAGGCAGGCGCGUGCGCGCCCGUACCGCAAACCGACACAGGUGGGUGGGUAGAACAUACCGAGGCGAUCGGGUCAACCAUGGUCAAGGAACUCGGCACAAUGGCCCCGUAACUUCGGGAGAAGGGGUGCCCGCGCGUACGUGAACCGGCUUGCCCGGGGAGCGGAGGCGGGCCGCAGUGGAGAGGCCCAAGCGACUGUUUACCAAAAACACAGGACUCUGCAGAAGCCGCAAGGCGACGUAUAGGGUCUGACGCCUGCCCGGUGCCGGAAGGUCACGCGGAGGAGUUAGCGCAUCGCGCGAAGCCCCGAAGCCAAGCCCCGGUAAACGGCGGCCGUAACUAUAACGGUCCUAAGGUAGCGAAAUUCCUUGUCGGGUAAGUUCCGACCUGC
Molecule: ribosomal RNA, 2048 nt
Filed under: human gut metagenome
Description: bacterial LSU rRNA
Rfam family: Bacterial large subunit ribosomal RNA
Source: RNAcentral